Molecule: ribosomal RNA, 996 nt
Filed under: uncultured bacterium
Lineage: Bacteria
Description: bacterial SSU rRNA
Rfam family: Bacterial small subunit ribosomal RNA
Source: RNAcentral
AACACAUGCAAGUCGAACGAGAAUUAAUCCCGGUUAAUUCUAGUGGCGGACGGGUGAGUAACACGUGAGAAUUCGCCUUUAGGAGGGGGAUAACGGAUGGAAACAUUCGCUAAAACCCCAUAUGCCCUCGGGUGAAAAAGAGAAAGUAAGUCAUACUGAUUUAUCUCUGCCUGAAGAGAAGCUCGCGGCUGAUUAGCUAGUUGGUAGGGUAAAGGCCUACCAAGGCGACGAUCAGUAGCUGGUCUGAGAGGACGAUCAGCCACACUGGAACUGAGACACGGUCCAGACUCCUACGGGAGGCAGCAGUGAGGAAUUUUCUGCAAUGGGCGAAAGCCUGACAGAGCAAUACCGCGUGGGGGAUGAAGACUUACUGAGUUGUAAACCUCGGUACCCUAAGGAAGAAGAUAUGACGGUACUUAGGGUGGAAAGCAUCGGCUAACUCCGUGCCAGCAGCCGCGGUAAGACGGGGGAUGCAAGUGUUAUCCGGAUUUACUGGGCGUAAAGCGUCCGCAGGUGGUCUCUUAAGUCUACUGUUAAAUCUUGAGGCUCAACCUCAAAUCUGCAGUAGAAACUAGGAGACUUGAGUAUAGUAGGGGUAGAGGGAAUUUCCAGUGGAGCGGUGAAAUGCGUAGAUAUUGGAAAGAACACCGAUGGCGAAGGCACUCUACUGGGCUAUUACUGACACUCAGAGACGAAAGCUAGGGGAGCAAAUGGGAUUAGAUACCCCAGUAGUCCUAGCCGUAAACGAUGGAUACUCGAUGUUGGACGUAUCGACCCGUUCAGUAUCUUAGCUAACGCGUUAAGUAUCCCGCCUGGGGGAGUACGCUCGCAAGAGUGAACUCAAAGGAAUUGACGGGGGCCCGCACAGCGGUGGAGGAUGUGGUUUAAUUCGAUGCACGCGAGAUCUUACAGGUUUGCUAGAGUGUGGUUUCUGAAAGAUCUAUCGCUCUACAGUGUGCAUGCUGUCGUCAGCUCGUGUCUGAGAUGUGGUAAGUC